GAGUUUGAUCGUGGCUCAGAUUGAACGCUGGCGGCAUGCCUUACACAUGCAAGUCGAACGGCAGCAUGAUCUAGCUUGCUAGAUUGAUGGCGAGUGGCGAACGGGUGAGUAAUACAUCGGAACGUGCCCUGUAGUGGGGAUAACUAGUCGAAAGAUUAGCUAAUACCGCAUACGACCUGAGGGUGAAAGUGGGGGACCGCAAGGCCUCAUGCUAUAGGAGCGGCCGAUGUCUGAUUAGCUAGUUGGUGGGGUAAAGGCCCACCAAGGCGACGAUCAGUAGCUGGCCUGAGAGGACGAUCAGCCACACUGGGACUGAGACACGGCCCAGACUCCUACGGGAGGCAGCAGUGGGGAAUUUGGACAAUGGGCGAAAGCCUGAUCCAGCAAUGCCGCGUGUGUGAAGAAGGCC
Molecule: ribosomal RNA, 409 nt
Filed under: uncultured microorganism
Description: bacterial SSU rRNA
Rfam family: Bacterial small subunit ribosomal RNA
Source: RNAcentral